CAUGGCCCUUACGACCAGGGCUACACACGUGCUACAAUGGCGCAUACAAAGAGAAGCGACCUCGCGAGAGCAAGCGGACCUCAUAAAGUGCGUCGUAGUCCGGAUUGGAGUCUGCAACUCGACUCCAUGAAGUCGGAAUCGCUAGUAAUCGUGGAUCAGAAUGCCACGGUGAAUACGUUCCCGGGCCUUGUACACACCGCCCGUCACACCAUGGGAGUGGGUUGCAAAAGAAGUAGGUAGCUUAACCUUCGGGAGGGCGCUUACCACUUUGUGAUUCAUGACUGGGGUGAAGUCGUAACAAGGUAACCGUAGGGGAACCUGCGGUUGGAUCACCUCCUUACCUUAAAGAAGC
RNAcentral lists this ribosomal RNA (352 nucleotides) under Shigella flexneri. RNAcentral describes it as "bacterial SSU rRNA". It matches the Rfam family "Bacterial small subunit ribosomal RNA", at positions 1194 to 1533 of the family's 1533-position model. The record is from RNAcentral. Lineage: Bacteria; Pseudomonadati; Pseudomonadota; Gammaproteobacteria; Enterobacterales; Enterobacteriaceae.